Molecule: ribosomal RNA, 253 nt
Filed under: uncultured bacterium
Lineage: Bacteria
Description: partial 16S ribosomal RNA
Rfam family: Bacterial small subunit ribosomal RNA
Source: RNAcentral
UACAGAGGUCUCGAGCGUUAGGCGGAAUCACUGGGCUUAAAGCGUGUGUAGGCGGAUCGUUAAGUGUCUUGUGAAAUCCCACGGCUCACCCGUGGAACUGCUGGGCAUACUGGCGAUCUUGGGCCAACUAGGGGCAACUGGAACAAGCGGUGGAGCGGUGAAAUGCGUAGAUAUCGCUUGGAACGCCAAAGGUGAAAACAGGUUGCUGGGGUUGUGCCGACGCUGAGACACGAAAGCCAGGGGAGCAAACGGG